This 317-nucleotide ribosomal RNA is filed under the name uncultured Lachnospiraceae bacterium. RNAcentral's name for it is "bacterial SSU rRNA". It matches the Rfam family "Bacterial small subunit ribosomal RNA", at positions 28 to 339 of the family's 1533-position model. The record is from RNAcentral. Lineage: Bacteria; Bacillati; Bacillota; Clostridia; Lachnospirales; Lachnospiraceae.
GACGAACGCUGGCGGCACGCUUAACACAUGCAAGUCGAACGGAGUUAUUCGGAGCUUGCUCUGGAUAACUUAGUGGCGGACGGGUGAGUAACGCGUGAGUAACCUGCCUUAGACUGGGGGAUAACACUUAGAAAUAGGUGCUAAUACCGCAUAAGCGCACAGUGCCGCAUGGCACAGUGUGAAAAACUCCGGUGGCCUAAGAUGGACUCGCGUCUGAUUAGCUAGUUGGUGAGGUAACGGCCCACCAAGGCGACGAUCAGUAGCCGGCCUGGAGAGGGUGAACGGCCACAUUGGGACUGAGACACGGCCCAAACUCC